RNAcentral lists this ribosomal RNA (567 nucleotides) under Etmopterus splendidus (splendid lanternshark). Its description in RNAcentral is "partial 16S ribosomal RNA". It matches the Rfam family "Bacterial large subunit ribosomal RNA", at positions 1851 to 2611 of the family's 2925-position model. Lineage: Eukaryota; Metazoa; Chordata; Chondrichthyes; Squaliformes; Etmopteridae. The record is from RNAcentral.
GGUCCCGCCUGCCCUGUGACAAUGUUUAACGGCCGCGGUAUUUUGACCGUGCGAAGGUAGCGUAAUCACUUGUCUUUUAAAUGAAGACCCGUAUGAAAGGCAUCACGAGAGUUUAACUGUCUCUAUUUUCUAAUCAAUGAAAUUGAUCUUCUCGUGCAGAAGCGAGAAUAUAUACAUUAGACGAGAAGACCCUAUGGAGCUUUAAACACUUAAGUUAAUUAUGUAAAAUUAUUAAUCCACGGAAAUAAAUUACUUAUAUAAUACUCCUAAUUUAACUGUUUUUGGUUGGGGUGACCAAGGGGAAAACAAAAUCCCCCUUAUCGAUUGAGUGCUUAGCACUUAAAAAUUAGAACGACAGUUCUUAUUAAUAAAAUAUUUAACGAAAAAUGACCCAGUUUUUCUGAUCAAUGAACCAAGUUACCCUAGGGAUAACAGCGCAAUCCUUUCUAAGAGUCCAUAUCGCCGAAAGGGUUUACGACCUCGAUGUUGGAUCAGGACAUCCUAAUAGUGCAACCGUUAUUAAGGGUUCGUUUGUUCAACGAUUAAUAGUCCUACGUGAUCUGAGUU